Molecule: ribosomal RNA, 309 nt
Filed under: uncultured bacterium
Lineage: Bacteria
Description: partial 16S ribosomal RNA
Rfam family: Bacterial small subunit ribosomal RNA
Source: RNAcentral
AGAGACAGCAGCAGCCGCGGUAAUACGUAGGUGGCAAGCGUUGUCCGGAAUUAUUGGGCGUAAAGGGCUCGCAGGCGGUUUCUUAAGUCUGAUGUGAAAGCCCCCGGCUCAACCGGGGAGGGUCAUUGGAAACUGGGAAACUUGAGUGCAGAAGAGGAGAGUGGAAUUCCACGUGUAGCGGUGAAAUGCGUAGAGAUGUGGAGGAACACCAGUGGCGAAGGCGACUCUCUGGUCUGUAACUGACGCUGAGGAGCGAAAGCGUGGGGAGCGAACAGGAUUAGAUACCGCGUAGUCCCUGUCUCUUAUACA